RNAcentral lists this ribosomal RNA (328 nucleotides) under uncultured bacterium. Its description in RNAcentral is "bacterial SSU rRNA". It matches the Rfam family "Bacterial small subunit ribosomal RNA", at positions 28 to 334 of the family's 1533-position model. The record is from RNAcentral.
GACGAACGCUGGCGGCAUGCCUAAUACAUGCAAGUCGAACGCUUUUGUUUCACCGGGUGCUUGCACCCACCGAGACAAAAGAGUGGUGGACGGGUGAGUAACACGUGGGUAACCUGCCCAUAAGAGGGGGAUAACAUCCGGAAACGGAUGCUAAUACCGCAUAUUUCCAAUUGUCUCCUGACAGAUGGAAAAAAGGUGGCUUCGGCUACCGCUUAUGGAUGGACCCGCGGCGUAUUAGCUAGUUGGUGAGGUAAUGGCUCACCAAGGCGAUGAUACGUAGCCGACCUGAGAGGGUGAUCGGCCACACUGGGACUGAGACACGGCCCAG